CUUGGGUCUUCCUGCUCUGAAGGAGAAGCUGAUCAGCUCACCACCAGUAAGACGCAUGCGAGCGAUGAAACGGGCCCAUCCAUCUCCUCCAAUCUGCGACAUAUUGCGUCCUUUCUCGACCUCCAUAGUGUACGGCCCCCCAGGAGCCUCAAAUGUCACAGUGUCUCCUGUCAGCUUGUUGAAUUUCAACCUCACAUUGCAUGGGACGAUCUGUGUAAAAUAAGCAAAAUGACACAAUGCAGUAAUGCCAACACUAAAA
Molecule: ribosomal RNA, 259 nt
Filed under: Triticum aestivum (bread wheat)
Lineage: Eukaryota; Viridiplantae; Streptophyta; Magnoliopsida; Poales; Poaceae
Description: partial small subunit ribosomal RNA
Source: RNAcentral